RNAcentral lists this non-coding RNA (148 nucleotides) under Cupriavidus sp. HPC(L). RNAcentral describes it as "Glycine riboswitch aptamer". It matches the Rfam family "Glycine riboswitch aptamer". From Rfam's summary of the family: This family represents the bacterial glycine riboswitch. Glycine riboswitches usually consist of two metabolite-binding aptamers domains with similar structures in tandem. The aptamers cooperatively bind glycine to regulate the expression of downstream genes. RNAcentral also lists the same sequence under 1 other name. The record is from Rfam by way of RNAcentral. Lineage: Bacteria; Pseudomonadati; Pseudomonadota; Betaproteobacteria; Burkholderiales; Burkholderiaceae.
AUGCCGAACUCUGGAGAGCGACACCCGCCAUUCAUCGAUUGAAUGAUGAGCGUGUCCACCGAAGGGGCGCACGGCGGGGCCGGCGGGUUCGAAGCGAACCGCAGAACCAGUCCGUAAUCUCUCAGGUAUCGAGGACAGAGGGGGUCAU